This 266-nucleotide ribosomal RNA is filed under the name Bacillus cereus. Its description in RNAcentral is "partial 16S ribosomal RNA". It matches the Rfam family "Bacterial small subunit ribosomal RNA", at positions 1278 to 1533 of the family's 1533-position model. The record is from RNAcentral. Lineage: Bacteria; Bacillati; Bacillota; Bacilli; Caryophanales; Bacillaceae.
AAAACCGUUCUCAGUUCGGAUUGUAGGCUGCAACUUGCCUAUAUGAAGCUGGAAUCGCUAGUAAUCGCGGAUCAGCAUGCCGCGGUGAAUACGUUCCCGGGCCUUGUACACACCGCCCGUCACACCACGAGAGUUUGUAACACCCGAAGUCGGUGGGGUAACCUUUUUGGAGCCAGCCGCCUAAGGUGGGACAGAUGAUUGGGGUGAAGUCGUAACAAGGUAGCCGUAUCGGAAGGUGCGGCUGGAUCACCUCCUUUCUAUGGAGA